GUCUUGUAAUUGGAAUGAUGGGAAUCUAAACCCUUCCCAGAGUAUCAAUUGGAGGGCAAGUCUGGUGCCAGCAGCCGCGGUAAUUCCAGCUCCAAUAGCGUAUAUUAAAGUUGUUGCAGUUAAGAAGCUCGUAGUUGAAUUUCUGCCUUAUCAUUAAUUUCGCUUCCGAACGUAAUUUUAUUGAUUUGGCAUCUUCUGGAUUUAUAUUUUUAUUAAUAUUUUUCCAGUAUUUACUUUGAGAAAACUAGAGUGUUUCAAACAGGCUAUUGCCUUGAAUACUACAGCAUGGAAUAAUGAAGUAGGACUUUGGUUCUAUUUUGUUGGUUAUCGAACCAUAGUAAUGGUUAAUAGGAGCAGUUGGGGGCAUUCGUAUUUAACUGUCAGAGGUGAAAUUCUUAGAUUUGUUAAAGACGAACUACUGCGAAAGCAUUUGCCAAGGAUGUUUUCAUUAAUCAAGAACGAAAGUUAGGGGAUCGAAGACGAUCAGAUACCGUCGUAGUCCU
This 503-nucleotide ribosomal RNA is filed under the name Babesia sp. badger type A. RNAcentral's name for it is "SSU rRNA". It matches the Rfam family "Eukaryotic small subunit ribosomal RNA", at positions 500 to 1027 of the family's 1831-position model. The record is from RNAcentral. Lineage: Eukaryota; Apicomplexa; Aconoidasida; Piroplasmida; Babesiidae.